Molecule: ribosomal RNA, 484 nt
Filed under: uncultured bacterium
Lineage: Bacteria
Description: partial 16S ribosomal RNA
Rfam family: Bacterial small subunit ribosomal RNA
Source: RNAcentral
AUUGAACGCUGGCGGCAGGCCUAACACAUGCAAGACGAGCGGAUGAAGGGAGCUUGCUCCUGGAUUCAGCGGCGGACGGGUGAGUAAUGCCUAGGAAUCUGCCUGGUAGUGGGGGAUAACGUCCGGAAACGGGCGCUAAUACCGCAUACGUCCUGAGGGAGAAAGUGGGGGAUCUUCGGACCUCACGCUAUCAGAUGAGCCUAGGUCGGAUUAGCUAGUUGGUGGGGUAAAGGCCUACCAAGGCGACGAUCCGUAACUGGUCUGAGAGGAUGAUCAGUCACACUGGAACUGAGACACGGUCCAGACUCCUACGGGAGGCAGCAGUGGGGAAUAUUGGACAAUGGGCGAAAGCCUGAUCCAGCCAUGCCGCGUGUGUGAAGAAGGUCUUCGGAUUGUAAAGCACUUUAAGUUGGGAGGAAGGGCAGUAAGUUAAUACCUUGCUGUUUUGACGUUACCAACAGAAUAAGCACCGGCUAACUUCGUG